AAAUAACAUCUUUAUCCAACAUCUCAUGGUAAUUCCAUGUUACUAUAGAAUUAAUAAAAAUAAUUAUUCCGAAUUAAUGUUCUUAAAAUUAGACUCAUAUGGAUCCGUGCCGUAUACUCUCGCGCAGAUUAUACGUAUACAGAGCGAAUCUAAGAAGUCUUAUUUUAUUAGAUUGUGCUUUUGUUGUGUGUAUUAAUUCUAUAAUCUUUCUUUUCACAAAAUAUAAAAAAAAUUCAAAUAAACUCAUAAGAAUUUUCACACUGACAAUUAACCCCGGUCAAGUUGCAUUACUUAAGAUCCACUCCCCAAAAACCUUCGAGAUAUCAGAUAAGGAGUGCCUCUCGCUUACUUGGUCAGUUUCAGUGUCAGGAUAACCUUGUUAUGCAAUUUUCUUGCUGGGCAGAGUAUUGCUGUUUGCAGCUUAUCUAGGUCAAAAUUUGAAUUCAACUGAUGGACAAGAAGUGCGCGUCUCCUUGCUGUUCAUAUUUAAUGUGUUUUCAAGCUAUAUACACAAGGAUUAAGGCUGGAAUAUCAACUUCUGCUCAUUCGUCGUAAGGUUAAAUCAACCAGUGGUGCAGGGAAUUGAUUGUACAGUCAGCCUUGAUUGCAUCGAUCAGAUUCUUCGCCCGUGAAAAUUAUACAAAGGAAUGCAACAUUUUGCUUUUACUUUAGAAGGUGGAUUCUCCUGUUCAUUUCUUUCAUUCGUGGGACUUAACUAUAUGCGUGAUUAAAAUCAAUGGAUCCGCCACUUUGUGGAACUUAGUAUUGUAAGGCAGACGCGUACUUUGAAGGACCUGGAUGUGAUUACUGUGACCCACUUUUCACUAGGAAUAUAAAUUUUGUCAAGCAGUAAUUUUUGAGA
This is a long non-coding RNA of Saccostrea cuccullata (small rock oyster), 862 nucleotides long. RefSeq lists it as uncharacterized. The transcript is spliced from 3 exons. Lineage: Eukaryota; Metazoa; Mollusca; Bivalvia; Ostreida; Ostreidae. The record is from RefSeq and is a predicted model, not a curated record.